CCGACGGUGAGAGACGAAAGCUGGGGGCACGAACCGGAUUAGAUACCCGGGUAGUCCCAGCUGUAAACGAUGCUCGCUAGGUGUCUGGGAUGGUGCGACCGUUUCAGGUGCCGCAGGGAAGCCGUGAAGCGAGCCACCUGGGAAGUACGGCCGCAAGGCUGAAACUUAAAGGAAUUGGCGGGGAGCACUACAACGGGUGGAGCCUGCGGUUUAAUUGGACUCAACGCCGGAAAACUCACCUGGGGCG
RNAcentral lists this ribosomal RNA (247 nucleotides) under uncultured archaeon. Its description in RNAcentral is "partial 16S ribosomal RNA". It matches the Rfam family "Archaeal small subunit ribosomal RNA", at positions 691 to 938 of the family's 1478-position model. The record is from RNAcentral.